Molecule: long non-coding RNA, 2148 nt
Organism: Homo sapiens (human)
Lineage: Eukaryota; Metazoa; Chordata; Mammalia; Primates; Hominidae
Exons: 4
Source: RefSeq, a predicted model, not a curated record
UCUUUACGGUUCUGUCCCCUAGGCCCCUUCCUUCCAUAAGACCUACUCAGGACUCCACUGGGCUGCUGACUACUCACCCUCCCCUCAGGUCAUCUCCUGACCCGUACACAGUUAUGUCCACCCAGGGUCUGCUUGGACACCUGUGCCUGAUGUUCACCAGGGGCCAGAUGUCGUCCUCAGGCCUGAUGUCCACCUAGGGCCUGAUGACUGCCUUGGCCUAUGUCCCUCUGGGGGCCUUGUGUUCACCUGGGGACUGUAUCCAGCUGGGGCCUGAUGGCCUACUGGGUCUUGUUGUUCACCUAAGGCCUUGUGUCCACCUGGGGACUGGUGAUCACCUGGGGCCUGGGUGUCCACCUGAGGCCAGAGGUGCACCUAAGGCCUGAGUUUUCACCUGGGCCUGAUGAUCACCUGGGGACUGGGUGUGUGCCUUGGGUCUUUUCCCUUUUCCUGAACAGGGCUUGCAGUUUCCAAACCAGACACAAUCUCCCAGUUGGAGAAAGAAAAAGGAUCCUAGAUGAUAGUGAGACAAAUUUCAGGAAACUCCAUCCAAAUAAGUAAAUGAGAAUGAGGACAGGAUUCAUUGCAUGGUGGCAUGUGCCUGCAGUCCCAGCUACUCAAGAGGCUGAGGUGGGAGGAUCGCUUGAACUCAGGAGUUGAAGGCUGCAGUGGGUGAGGAUCACAACACUGAAUUCCAGCUGAGGUGACAGAAUGAGACCCUGUCUCUCUAAAAAACAAGCAAGCAAACAAACCAAAAACCACAGACAAACCAGACCCCUCUUAGCAGAAUACUUCCAUGAGGUAAUAAAAGGUUUAAUUUAUUUCAGAAGUUUCUAGAUUUUAUUGUCUCUAUUUAGCCAAAGCCACAAGAAAAGUCAAAUUCAUAUCUUUAAAUGCUUUCAUUAUCAAUCAAGAAAGAAGAAAGUGAAACGAACAAACAAUUUUACUCAAGAAACUAGUGAGAAAUCAAAGAAAUGUCCAAGAAGUAGGAGACAAGAAUUAAUCAAAACAGAUUAACAGUGGAAUAAAUAAAUGAAUCCAACUGGUUCUUUGUAAUGGAAUGUAGAAAGACAUACUCUAUUCUUCUGGAUAGGAAGAUGAAAUAUCAUAAUCAUAUCAAUGCAAGUUUUAUGCAUGCUCAAACAUGUAUAAACUAAGAAAAAAUCUGAAAGGACAGACAGCAAAAUGUUUGCAGUUUUUUUCCUCCAAGUGGUAAGAUUAAAGAACACAGACAAAAAUAGAAACUCCUCACAUGACCCACCACGAAGCCCAUCAGAUGGCAGAAUGCAGAAUCAGGUUGCAAUGGACUGAUCUUAAAACAGAUGAAGCAGUGGAGAAAAUCUUCCUGGAGCUGAUGGUAUAAUUUGCUUCUUGAAACAAUGACAGUCCAUGAAAUAAGGUGGGGAAGAUGUUUUGAACCUCUCUCAGCAGCAGAUCCCUAAAUCACAGACCCAGAACUUGGAGGAAACAGGAAACAGGAGGCCAUCUCUGCACCUCUCCAGCACUGCUCUGGUUGGUGGGCAGAAUAUCAUACAAUCAUCACGAUUCUUAUAUCAAAAACCAAAUUCUAGACUGAUUAAAUAAUUAUUUUUUUAAAUGAGAAAAGUUAUCGUUUAUUUGAUCUUGGGCUAGGGAAGAUAUUUCCAAGCAAAAAGGGUAAAAAGAAGGAAAAAGAAAUGAUUAACAGAUUGGAAGGCAAUAACAAUAUAAUAUCAAGUGCUGGCAAGAGCUCAGAGAAGUGUGUGUUCUCAUGACUGCUGGAACAAAUUGGUAUAAUAUUUCUGAAGGGCAAUCUGGCUGAAUAUGUUAGAAGUCUUUAAAAUAUUUAUACUCUGACUCAGUAAUUCAACAUCUAGAAAUUUUUCCUAAGUAAGUAAUAAGAAAGAGUUGAAAAAAGUAUUUGAAUAUUGAAAGACUGGAAAGAACAUAAAGGUUCAAUAAUACAUAUAUGUUCAACAACAGGGGACUAGUAAAUAUGAAUUAUUUAUAUGAUAAAAUACUAUCUAACCUUAAAAUAAUGUUUUAAAUAAUAUUUAAUGAUGAGAAUAUGCUGAGAAAAGUUUAAUCAUUUUAAAAAAGUUACAUGCAAAAUUAAAGUUAAUAACAUGUACAAGAUUAUUCUAAUUUUUUUUUUUUUUGAGAUGCAGUCUC